This 355-nucleotide long non-coding RNA is filed under the name Phaseolus vulgaris (common bean). RNAcentral's name for it is "long non-coding RNA (PVUL_LNC003583)". The record is from RNAcentral. Lineage: Eukaryota; Viridiplantae; Streptophyta; Magnoliopsida; Fabales; Fabaceae.
CUAGCGUUCACUAUCGCGCCCUUCACUAUUAGCCAUAGCCGCCUCCGCGCAAGGAUUUGAAACUUUUUUCCACAAACCCUACCUCUCUUCACUCUCGUGAUCUGCCACGAUAGACAGAGAAAUGGCGACUCUCCGCCACUGUCCGCAAACCCUACCUCUCUUCACUCUCGCGUUCUGCCACGAUAGACAGAGAAAUGGCGAAUCUCCACCACUGCCCGCAAACCCUACCUCUCUCCUCUUUCAAUCUCGUCUUUGUUUUACUUUAAUUUUGGACGAUCUUCAAUUCGGUUGCUAAAUUGUUCGUUUUGUUUGUCAGUACAUCGAGAUCAUCAAACUCGUGAAAGGAAGGCCACUG